UAUGAUGCCUGAUAGCUUAGGGUUUUCCUUAUAUAAAAUUGGCAUCAUUACUGUAGUUCCUUAGUGUAUGCAUCGUAGUUGUACAUAAUUAAGAUCUUAUUUGGCCUUAUUUCCUAUUCUUUUUUGAUGAAGGGCUUAGGGUAGGAUCAAAUAUUCGAAUGUCUAUAGGGUCUAACGUUAUGUAUGACUAGCAUUCACGAGUGACAGAUAUUGUCCGAUGCUGGGCUGGGCUCGCUAUAUGUGAUUAUGGGUAUGGUAUGUGGUAUUUGGGGAACUCACUAAGCUUUGUGCUUACGGUUUUCGGUUCUUGUUUCAGGUACACUGGUUUUCAAAUGAAAGAGCUCGGGAUGAUCGCAGCGCAUACACACCCGUGUUUUCCGCAAUAUGUGAUCUUUGAGAUUAGACCCUGGUAUUUGUUUUAAUUGAAAUGUUUGUUCAAUAUCUUGAACAAAGUUACAAUAUUGUUUUGGUUAUAACAAAAAAUGAAAUUUUUACCUUGGAUUUUUAGAUCAUUACAAGUGAUGGGUUUUGAGCAUUACAACAUUCAUAUGUGCACAUACAACCCUAAUUGCUUCGAAUCUUUGUUUUUCUCAAGUUAUACAUGCAAAUUAAUUUUCCGAAUAAAGAACCCUAGAUCUACUAUAUAAAACCAAAAUCUAACCAUAUUAGGGUUUACAGGAAUACCUUUCUUGUUAGCUAGUUGUAAUAAGUAAUCCUCACUUCAAUUCCUUCACCUUUGAAAGCCUACUGCUCCAAGCGUUGCACCUCUAAUGAAGUCACAAACACCACACGCAAAGAAUGAGGGAGAGGGAGUAUGAAAUAGGCUAGGGUUUUUCUUAGAAGGUAGGCAGGCAGAUUUCUUGAGACUAGGGGUCUAUUUUAUAGUUAAGGCUGCUAGGGUUUUCAACUGGAACCCCUAAUUCCCUUGCUUAGGCCCUAAGCAAUCCAUGGACCCCAUAUUAUAGGCCUUGGACAAAAACUCUAUGGGCUUCCCAUAGAUUUCGUCCACUCCAUAUCAAUAGAGUAUAAUAGCCCAAAAUUACAACUAUUACUGAUUUACAUAAUCAGCCCCCGUUCUUUUAAUCAGUUCCUUUGAUCACUAAAUUAAUUCCAAAUUAAUUUAUGUUCAAUACUAAUUAAAUAAUAUGAUUUCUCAAUUAAUAUAUUACUCUUAUAAUAUAUCAAUAAACCAUUAAAUAACCUCUUACUCCAAAAUUGAUCCUGUCCAGUUGCUAUGGUGAAGGCAUCCCAAAAGGACCAUGCUACAAUCAAAUCAAGUACAUACCAAUUAUAGUUAUGGGCUUAGACACAUAAUCCAACAACAAGUUGGUAUCAGAGCCUUGGUUUGAGGGAUUCGGGCAUACUCUCAGGUGUGUCUGAACUAAAUUUGAAGGUUUUGUGAUUUUUUUAAUAAAACGAGCUAUUAAGUAAUAAGGAAUUUCUAAUCAAAGAAAGGGGUGUGAUGCGUGCUGUCGGUCGAGCUCAAGUAAGUGGUUCCCAAAAUACCAAUACAUGUUAUUUAUGAUAUAUGAUAUGAUUAUGAGAAUUACAUGCUAGAUUAGGGCUAAGGAUCUGCUCAAUAUUAUAUGAAAUGAGAGACGCCCACUACUAGAAAAACAGCCUUUUACGACGCGCAAAUUAUGACACUCAUUGAUCUAUGUUACGCAAAAGAGAGUGACAUUAAAAGAGAGUCAUAUCUUCAAAAAAUUUAAGGAUUUAGGUCACGCAUUACUGUGUGCCCUUAAAUUAAUGUCUCAUGUAAAAAAAUUAAAAACACGGAGGGCACUUUAUCUAAAACGAGCGUCCUCAAUGAAUGUCGCUUUAUAUAUUUUUUUUUAAGAAACGCGUGUCUCCUUCGUCUUAGAGGGAAAAUGAAAUCCCCAAAUUUUUUAAACCCCCGCCUUCUUCUCCCUUUCAUCCACUGCACUCAAUCCCCGAUGCCUCUUCUAGCCUCAGACUGUGCCGAUUAAAAACUACGAUUCAUCAACCGUCAAUCGAAACUACCAAUUAAACAAGCCCUAAUCGACACCUCCACCUUCUUGUCUCUCCUUUUCCACCAGGUUUUAUCGCAUCUCUAUCCUCCUCCUUCUCGUCUCGCCUUCUCCAUUGACAACACCAACACCGUUGUCACGAUCUAUUACAACACCCACCACAGUCAAAAUUGAUGAAACCAUACCUCCUCCUGCUUCCAACGCCUCAAAAUGGAUUGCAGAUGUCAACGCUUCUUGUUUUUAUUAUCCCAUUUCUUUCAAAAUCAAAUCGACCCAAAACCCUAGUUCUUGUUGUUCAAAUCAAUUUCAAUGGUGAACCUCCGACUUCAUUGGUUUGAAGAAAAAUAUAUUGGAAACAGUGUAUCAGAAUCCAGUAGCGGCAGUAAUUGGUGAGAACGGUUCAUGGAAAAGAACUCAACAAUCUUAGAUAUUACACAAAAAUGGCUACAUGAAGACCGGAACCAUCCCAGUCACCCAGACCCACCGUGUCUCCAUCGUCUAUGUUUCUAGGUAAUCAUAUUCUCACACCUUAAUUUUUACCUCUCAUGUAUCUGUGCGACUUUGAUUACUUCCUUGGAUCAUUUGAGGUUCCUUUUUUAUCCUUCUUUUCUCCCAAUUUUUCAAUACACAUGUGAUUAAACUACACACGGGAUCUCAUUGUUUAUUCAUUUAAUUGGAAGGUAUGAUAAGCGCUAGACUCUCUCAAGUAAAUUAUGCCCCUGUAAAGGUAUUGGUGUAAAAUUUCAUUGGUUUGGUUUCAGAUCCUUUAUAAUUACUUCUGAAAGCUACUCUACAGAAACUCAAAAUGCAGGGCCUUUGUCUAUAUUAACAAAGAAGUUAAGUAGUUGGAAUGAGUAUUAUGAAUGGUGAGGCAUCCCUUUAGAUUCUCAUGUUGCUCUACGUCUUCACUAGGUAAUGAUGUAGUUUCAUAUACUUCAUAGAAAGUAGUGCUUGUUUUUUUAAUGAAUUGAUUGAUGCAGUGGGUUCAUCAGAGGGCUUGGAGAGGACCCGAAGCCUCUAACAUUUUCAUUCCAUGACAAGUACAAACAGGGGCCCCUGUUAUCAGUUGUAAUUAUUGAUUUGAUUAUAUAUAUGAUGGGAUCCGAAACCAAUUUAAAAUACGUAUAUGCAUUAAGAGGUGGAAAUCAAAGAAGAAGAUUAUCAGAGGACAAAAAGGUCAAUUUCAAUUGCAUACCUGGAGCCUAUAGACAUGAGUGCGCAGCUGUUCGACUGCCCCUGAACGGAAAGUGUCACAUGCAGCCAUCAUUACAUUGAUGUCAUGCUGUUGAAGCCAGUAAGCCACCUAUGUACACAACGUUUCACAUAUUAUUAUUUUUUUUGUUUUUUUUAUGCCAAGAUUCAAUUUUUAAUAUUUUUUAUAUACCUUGGCAAGAUUGAUUGACUUUCCAACUCUGUUGACUCCAACAAACACCACAACAUAUGGUUUCCUUUUCUCCUUGGAAACAUGAACAUCCCUCAGAAUGUCAAUAGAACGCCUUUGAGUCAAGAUACGAACAAGAGCAUCUUUCAUAGCAGCCUGCACUCGAUAUCAAUUUCAUAUUUUUUAUAAAUCAACUAACCAUGAAAUACUCAAAAUUACAAAAAAGGACAGUUGUGUAUUCUUAGUUCCUGGAAUCUUACAAGAGUGUCACCAUUGAAGCCAUGGCAAAGGCGUUUAGUGUCACAAUUGAUUUCAUUUAUCUGGAGCUGUCACUAUUCAUUGCAGCAGGGAAGCUUCAUUGCAAGAUCGAAAAAGUAGCAUGUGUUUUGGAAACCAACCACCCGGAUGCAAAGAAUGCUCUUUAUCAUAUCUUAUGCUUUUAGUUCUUCUCUAGCAGUUCCAAGAACAGAGAAAAUAUUGGAAAUUCAGCUUACAAGUGAGCCACACACGUCUCAUGGAAUGUUCAGUUUUGACUAAAAGGUA
Molecule: non-coding RNA, 3915 nt
Organism: Lactuca sativa (garden lettuce)
Lineage: Eukaryota; Viridiplantae; Streptophyta; Magnoliopsida; Asterales; Asteraceae
Source: RefSeq, a predicted model, not a curated record